UGAGAUUAUGUCAGUGCAAUUGCGUGAGUACAGUGACCCUUUCAGAGUUUAAGUCACCAUACAGAAUAAAAACAUUAAAAUAUAAUUUCAAUUGGGUAAAAACUUGGUGAUAAUUUUAUUUAGCAAGUGGAACAAGUGUUAACUUGAUUUAUUUAAAAGACCCAUGGAAUUUUUUUUUUUUUUUUUUGUUUCAUGUGUUCAUUUUUUUAUGCUUGAUAUAAAAGAGUACGUGAAUAUGAAUUUUAAAAAAUCUUUGAUAAGUAUAAAAAUAAAAUCGUUAAAGAAAAAACAAUCAAAUAAUAAUGAUGAAAAUAUAAAUUACCACCCACGUGUUUUAUGAAGUUUCCACAUGUCGUGGUGCAUGUAUGACUAUAAUUUUGUAGGAGAAAAAAUCACGCAUCAAAAGAGGGGAGAAUAUGCUUUAUAUUAAAUCAUCCCGAGUCAUCUAAAAGUUCAGUAGCAGUUGAAUAUUGUUCAAGCAAACAACAAAAUAAUAUUUAAAAAAUAUCCUUUUUUUUUUUUUGUUUUCUUUUCUUCAUUAUUUAAUUUUGUAAUAUAAUUAAUAACUUAUCUAAAAUUUGUUUAAAUAAUUUUUAAUUCGAAUGAAGCUCAGUAUAUUUUGUCUUGUAUUAUUUUUAUCAAUUAUAUUCAUUAAUAAAAUGGCACAUGGUUUUCCCGCCAGUGAUCCAGAAGCAGCUGCUGAAAAUAUGAGGUCGAUUCCACAAUGGCAUUGCCUUCGUUAUAGGAAAUUCGAUCUAGUUCGUCGAUGCAGAAAUUAUCGUCUAUCACGCAAACACUGACCUAUCAGAAAGCGG
Molecule: long non-coding RNA, 815 nt
Organism: Aphidius gifuensis
Lineage: Eukaryota; Metazoa; Arthropoda; Insecta; Hymenoptera; Braconidae
Exons: 2
Source: RefSeq, a predicted model, not a curated record